GUGGGGAAUUUUGGACAAUGGGCGCAAGCCUGAUCCAGCAAUGCCGCGUGCAGGAAGAAGGCCUUCGGGUUGUAAACUGCUUUUGUACGGAACGAAACGGUCCGGGUUAAUACCCUGGGCUAAUGACGGUACCGUAAGAAUAAGCACCGGCUAACUACGUGCCAGCAGCCGCGGUAAUACGUAGGGUGCAAGCGUUAAUCGGAAUUACUGGGCGUAAAGCGUGCGCAGGCGGUUUUGUAAGACAGGCGUGAAAUACCCGGGGUCAGCCUGGGAAUUGCGCUUGUGACUGCAAGGCUGGAGUGCGGCAGAGGGGGAUGGAAUUCCGCGUGUAGCAGUGAAAUGCGUAGAUAUGCGGAGGAACACCGAUGGCGAAGGCAAUCCCCUGGGCCUGCACUGACGCUCAUGCACGAAAGCGUGGGGAGCAAACAGGAUUAGAAACCCGGGUAGUCC
This 450-nucleotide ribosomal RNA is filed under the name uncultured bacterium. RNAcentral's name for it is "partial 16S ribosomal RNA". It matches the Rfam family "Bacterial small subunit ribosomal RNA", at positions 354 to 796 of the family's 1533-position model. The record is from RNAcentral.